GCCCUUCGGGGUACUCGAGUGGCGAACGGGUGAGUAACACGUGGGUGAUCUGCCCUGCACUUUGGGAUAAGCCUGGGAAACUGGGUCUAAUACCGAAUAGGACCACGCGCUUCAUGGUGUGUGGUGGAAAGCUUUUGCGGUGUGGGAUGGGCCCGCGGCCUAUCAGCUUGUUGGUGGGGUAAUGGCCUACCAAGGCGACGACGGGUAGCCGGCCUGAGAGGGUGACCGGCCACACUGGGACUGAGAUACGGCCCAGACUCCUACGGGAGGCAGCAGUGGGGAAUAUUGCACAAUGGGCGCAAGCCUGAUGCAGCGACGCCGCGUGAGGGAUGACGGCCUUCGGGUUGUAAACCUCUUUCAAUAGGGACGAAGCGCAAGUGACGGUACCUAUAGAAGAAGCACCGGCCAACUACGUGCCAGCAGCCGCGGUAAUACGUAGGGUGCGAGCGUUGUCCGGAAUUACUGGGCGUAAAGAGCUCGUAGGUGGUUUGUCGCGUUGUUCGUGAAAACUCACAGCUUAACUGUGGGCGUGCGGGCGAUACGGGCAGACUAGAGUACUGCAGGGGAGACUGGAAUUCCUGGUGUAGCGGUGGAAUGCGCAGAUAUCAGGAGGAACACCGGUGGCGAAGGCGGGUCUCUGGGCAGUAACUGACGCUGAGGAGCGAAAGCGUGGGGAGCGAACAGGAUUAGAUACCCUGGUAGUCCACGCCGUAAACGGUGGGUACUAGGUGUGGGUUCCUUCCUUGGGAUCCGUGCCGUANCUAACGCAUUAAGUACCCCGCCNGGNAGUACGGCCGCAAGGCUAAAACUCAAAGGAAUUGACGGGGGCCCGCACNAGCGGCGGANCAUGUGGANUAAUUCGAUGCAACGCGAAGAACCUUACCUGGGUUUGACNUGCACAGGACGCCGGCAGANAUGUCGGUUCNNUUGUGGCCUGUGUGCAGNUGGUGCAUGGCUGUCGUCAGCUCNUGUCGUGAGAUGUUGGGUUAAGUCCCGCAACGAGCGCAACCCUUGUCCUAUGUUGCCAGCGGGUUAUGCCGGGGACUCGUANNANACUGCCGGGGNCAACUCNA
This 1073-nucleotide ribosomal RNA is filed under the name Mycolicibacterium phocaicum. RNAcentral's name for it is "bacterial SSU rRNA". It matches the Rfam family "Bacterial small subunit ribosomal RNA", at positions 75 to 1166 of the family's 1533-position model. The record is from RNAcentral. Lineage: Bacteria; Bacillati; Actinomycetota; Actinomycetes; Mycobacteriales; Mycobacteriaceae.